This 301-nucleotide ribosomal RNA is filed under the name uncultured bacterium. Its description in RNAcentral is "partial 16S ribosomal RNA". It matches the Rfam family "Bacterial small subunit ribosomal RNA", at positions 509 to 807 of the family's 1533-position model. The record is from RNAcentral.
CAGUCGCCACGGUAAGACAGAGGAUGCAAGCGUUAUCCGGAAUGAUUGGGCGUAAAGGGCUCGCAGGCGGUUUCUUAAGUCUGAUGUGAAAGCCCCCGGCUCAACCGGGGAGGGUCAUUGGAAACUGGGAAACUUGAGUGCAGAAGAGGAGGGUGGAAUUCCACGUGUGGCGGUGAAAUGCGUAGAGAUGUGGAGGAACACCAGUGGCGAAGGCGACUCUCUGGUCAGCAACUGACGCUGAGGAGCGAAAGCGUGGGGAGCGAACAGGAUUAGAUACCCCAGUAGUCCCUGUCUCUUAUAC